AAUCUUGGACCUCCUUUUCGGGCUUCCCGUUGAGCCUGUUGGAUAAACGUAUCACAUCCUUCAUGUAAGUCUCGACUUCGUUAGCUAAGGAGUUCAAGUCUUCGUCCCCAUUGGCCGACGGGCGGUCCUCCAGCCACGUCACCUCGGCGACCAAAUAUGGUUUAGUCCGAAGCAGUUUCGUUACCCGGAACCUUUCUUGGCCUUUACAGAUCAAGAAGAACCGGUCGUCGACGAGACGCUCGUGUUUGACGACCUCCCCGACGCAGCCCACGUCGGCGGUGCCGGUGGCGGCAUCGGCGUAAAUCACGCCGAAACGGAGGUCAGUCUGAAGGAGGGUAUGCAUCAUGAUCCUGUAGCGGAACUCGAAGAUCUGAAGAGGGAGGAUUGCGCCGGGAAAGAGGACGAGAGGGAGAGGGAAGAGCGGGAGCUCGACAACGUCGUCGGAUUUGGGGGAGUUGGUGUGAUGUUUCUCGGAGAAUGAGGAGGCAGAGCAGCGGAGGAGAUUGGGUCUGCGCCGCCACUGGCGGUGGUGAAGUGG
This 538-nucleotide long non-coding RNA is filed under the name Coffea arabica (coffee). RNAcentral describes it as "long non-coding RNA (CARA_LNC006683)". The record is from RNAcentral. Lineage: Eukaryota; Viridiplantae; Streptophyta; Magnoliopsida; Gentianales; Rubiaceae.